This 434-nucleotide ribosomal RNA is filed under the name uncultured bacterium. Its description in RNAcentral is "bacterial SSU rRNA". It matches the Rfam family "Bacterial small subunit ribosomal RNA", at positions 343 to 792 of the family's 1533-position model. The record is from RNAcentral.
AGGAGGCAGCAGUGAGGAAUAUUGCACAAUGGGGGGAACCCUGAUGCAGCAACGCCGCGUGGGCGAUGAAGGCCUUCGGGUUGUAAAGCCCUUUUCUAAAGGAAGAGACAAGGACGGUACUUUAGGAAUAAGUCUCGGCUAACUACGUACCAGCAGCCGCGGUAAAACGUAGGAGACGAGCGUUAUCCGGAUUUACUGGGCGUAAAGGGCAAGUAGGCGGUGGGCAAAGUUGGACGUGACAUCUCUCGGCUUAACUGGGAGGGGUCGUCCAAAACUAGCCGACUAGAGGGCAGGAGAGGGGAGUGGAAUUCCUAGUGUAGCGGUGGAAUGCUUAGAUAUUAGGAAGAACACCAGUGGCGAAGGCGACUCUCUGGCCUGACCCUGACGCUGAGAGGCGAAAGCUAGGGGAGCGAACGGGAUUAGAUACCCUCGUA